GAGUUUGAUCGUGGCUCAGAUUGAACGCUGGCGGCAGGCCUAACACAUGCAAGUCGAGCGGAUGAAGGGAGCUUGCUCCUGGAUUCAGCGGCGGACGGGUGAGUAAUGCCUAGGAAUCUGCCUGGGUAGUGGGGGAUAACGUCCGGAAACGGGCGCUAAUACCGCAUACGUCCUGAGGGAGAAAGUGGGGGAUCUUCGGACCUCACGCUAUCAGACGAGCCUAGGUCGGAUUAGCUAGUUGGUGGGGUAAAGGCCUACCAAGGCGACGAUCCGUAACUGGUCUGAGAGGAUGAUCAGUCACACUGGAACUGAGACACGGUCCAGACUCCUACGGGAGGCAGCAGUGGGGAAUAUUGGACAAUGGGCGAAAGCCUGAUCCAGCCAUGCCGCGUGUGUGAAGAAGGUCUUCGGAUUGUAAAGCACUUUAAGUUGGGAGGAAGGGCAGUAAGUUAAUACCUUGCUGUUUUGACGUUACCAACAGAAUAAGCACCGGCUAACUUCGUGCCAGCCGCCGCCGU
This 518-nucleotide ribosomal RNA is filed under the name uncultured microorganism. RNAcentral's name for it is "bacterial SSU rRNA". It matches the Rfam family "Bacterial small subunit ribosomal RNA", at positions 9 to 521 of the family's 1533-position model. The record is from RNAcentral.